GCACUGCAUCAGGCCUACCUACUGCUACCUCCGGCUGUCUGCCCUGCUGGCUUCAUCGGACAAAACAAGUCGCAGGAAGCUGUACCACGUGCACUGCACUGGGACCACCUGACCAGCACGGUGACGUCGACGGAGACAUCGUGGCACCCGGAUAAAAGCAGCAGCCUUUUCGACGUUCCCUUCAGUGGACUUGGAAGCACCGAACGAGCACGGAUGCUGAUCAAAUUUUUUCUGAUCGCACAGAGUUCAUCACUUGUGCAUGUGCAACACAUUGGCGGAGGCAAUACGAACUGCAUUUCUUACUAGCUGGACAAGUCAGAAUGACAAUGCACCUUGGAGAACAAGACUCGAAUUGUGAAAGUCUGGUGGUUUCACAGAACUUUGUUUUAUGUCAAGAUGGGCUGACACCAUGUCACCUGAUGCUGUCACUCUCUGGUAAGCAUGUUAAAAAAAUAAAAACAAUCCAGUUUGAACA
RNAcentral lists this unclassified non-coding RNA (475 nucleotides) under Dermacentor andersoni. RNAcentral describes it as "uncharacterized LOC126536859". The record is from RNAcentral. Lineage: Eukaryota; Metazoa; Arthropoda; Arachnida; Ixodida; Ixodidae.